GCUUCAGUAGCUCAGUCGGUUAGAGCACCUGACUGUUAAUCAGGGGGUCGUUGGUUCAAGCCCAUCCUGAAGCG
RNAcentral lists this transfer RNA (74 nucleotides) under Alphaproteobacteria bacterium. RNAcentral describes it as "tRNA-Asn". It matches the Rfam family "tRNA". Rfam says of the family: Transfer RNA (tRNA) molecules are approximately 80 nucleotides in length. Their secondary structure includes four short double-helical elements and three loops (D, anti-codon, and T loops). RNAcentral also lists the same sequence under 2 other names. Lineage: Bacteria; Pseudomonadati; Pseudomonadota; Alphaproteobacteria. The record is from RNAcentral.